Molecule: ribosomal RNA, 432 nt
Filed under: uncultured bacterium
Lineage: Bacteria
Description: partial 16S ribosomal RNA
Rfam family: Bacterial small subunit ribosomal RNA
Source: RNAcentral
AACGAACGCUGGCGGCAUGCCUAACACAUGCAAGUCGAACGAGACCUUCGGGUCUAGUGGCGCACGGGUGCGUAACGCGUGGGAAUCUGCCCUUGGGUUCGGAAUAACUCGCCGAAAGGCGUGCUAAUACCGGAUGAUGACGUAAGUCCAAAGAUUUAUCGCCCAAGGAUGAGCCCGCGUUGGAUUAGCUAGUUGGUGAGGUAAAGGCUCACCAAGGCGACGAUCCAUAGCUGGUCUGAGAGGAUGAUCAGCCACACUGGGACUGAGACACGGCCCAGACUCCUACGGGAGGCAGCAGUGGGGAAUAUUGGACAAUGGGCGAAAGCCUGAUCCAGCAAUGCCGCGUGAGUGAUGAAGGCCUUAGGGUUGUAAAGCUCUUUUACCCGGGAUGAUAAUGACCGUACCGGGAGAAUAAGCUCCGGCUAACUCCGU